CUUCCUACGGGAGGCAGCAGUGGGGAAUAUUGCGCAAUGGACGAAAGUCUGACGCAGCGACGCCGCGUGAGGGAUGAAGGUUUUCGGAUCGUAAACCUCUGUCAGGAGGGAAGAAAGCGCAUGGCGCCAAUCGGCCAUGCGUUGACGGUACCUCCAAAGGAAGCGCCGGCUAACUACGUGCCAGCAGCCGCGGUAAUACGUAGGUGGCAAGCGUUGUCCGGAUUUACUGGGUGUAAAGGGCGUGCAGCCGGAGAGACAAGUCAGAUGUGAAAUCCACGGGCUCAACCCGUGAACUGCAUUUGAAA
This 305-nucleotide ribosomal RNA is filed under the name uncultured bacterium. RNAcentral describes it as "bacterial SSU rRNA". It matches the Rfam family "Bacterial small subunit ribosomal RNA", at positions 335 to 632 of the family's 1533-position model. The record is from RNAcentral.